RNAcentral lists this ribosomal RNA (2195 nucleotides) under Halonatronum saccharophilum DSM 13868. Its description in RNAcentral is "bacterial LSU rRNA". It matches the Rfam family "Bacterial large subunit ribosomal RNA", at positions 14 to 2163 of the family's 2925-position model. Lineage: Bacteria; Bacillati; Bacillota; Clostridia; Halanaerobiales; Halobacteroidaceae. The record is from RNAcentral.
AGGGCGCAUGGUGGAUGCCUUGGUGCUAGAAGCCGAUAAAGGACGUGGUAAGCUGCGAUAAGCCUUGACUAGCUGCACACAAGCUAUAACUCAAGGAUUUCCGAAUGGGAGUACCUGGUAGGUCAAUAACCUAUCAUCUUAAAGUGAAUUCAUAGCUUUAAGAGGGGAACCGAGUGAACUGAAACAUCUUAGUAACUCGAGGAAAGGAAAGCAAAAGCGAUUCCCUAAGUAGCGGCGAGCGAAACGGGAAGAGUCCAAACUAUAACAGUGUCAAGCUUAUGGGCGUUGCUGUUAUAGGGUUGUAGGACUAUCAGAUCUUACCAUAAAAAGAUCAUAGUAUUAACUUUAGUUAACUCAAUUAGCUGGAAAGCUAAACCACAGAAGGUAAAAGUCCUGUAGGUGAAAGUUAAAGUUAAACUAGAUAGUAUCCUGAGUACCAUGGGACACGAGAAACCCCGUGGGAAGCAAGGAGGACCAUCUCCUAAGACUAAAUACUUUCUAGCAACCGAUAGUGAACCAGUACCGUGAGGGAAAGGUGAAAAGAACCCCGGGAGGGGAGUGAAAUAGAAUCUGAAACCAUGUGCCUACAAGCAGUCAGAGGACGUAUAUUAUCAGUCUGAUGGCGUGCUUUUUGCAUAACGAACCGGCGAGUUAUGAUAUGUAGCGUUUAGGUUAAGCCAGGAAGGUGGAGCCGUAGCGAAAGCGAGUCUGAAUAGGGCGCAAGUUACAUGUCAUAGACCCGAAACCAAGUGAUCUAUCCAUGGUCAGGGUGAAGCACGUGUAAGAACGUGUGGAGGCCCGAACUGCAUUGACGUUGAAAAGUCAUGGGAUGAACUGUGGAUAGGGGUGAAAGGCCAAUCGAACUUGGAGAUAGCUGGUUCUCCCCGAAAUAGCUUUAGGGCUAGCCUCAAGUGAAUGCACUUUGGUCGUAGAGCACUGAUUGGACUAGGGGCUUUAUUAAGUUACCGAAUCCAGUCAAACUCCGAAGGCUGAAGAUGUUUAUCUUGGGAGUCAGACUAUGUGGGAUAAGCUUCAUAGUCGAGAGGGAAACAACCCAGAUCGUCAGUUAAGGUCCCUAAGUAUGAGCUAAGUGGCAAAGGAUGUGAGAUUGCAUAGACAACCAGGAUGUUGGCUUAGAAGCAGCCAUUCAUUUAAAGAGUGCGUAAUAGCUCACUGGUCGAGUGGUCUUGCGCUGAAAAUGUCCGGGGCUUAAGCUCAUCACCGAAACUACGGAUUGUUUUUUGACAAUGGUAGGGGAGCAUUCUAUAAGGAUUGAAGCAGUACCGUAAGGAGUUGUGGACUUUAUAGAAGUGAUAAUGCCGGUAUGAGUAACGAUAAGAUAGGUGAGAAUCCUAUCCGCCAAAAGUCUAAGGUUUCCUGAGGAAGGCUCGUCCGCUCAGGGUCAGCCGGGACCUAAGCCGAGGCCAAAAGGCGUAGGCGAUGGACAAUCGGUUAAAAUUCCGAUGCUACCUCCUUACCGUUAUAAGUGAUGGGGGGACGCAGUAAGAUAAGCCAGCCUGUUAACGGUUAUUACAGGUUGAAGCACGUAGGAGGAUCCUUUAGGUAAAUCCGGAGGAUUGUAAACUCUAAAGUGUGAUCUGGAACUUCUACGGAAGUGAAGUGGUUGAUUCUACACUGCCAAGAAAAUCCUCUAGCAAGGUAAGUGGUACCCGUACCGUAAAUUGACACAGAUAGACAGGAAGAGAAUUCUAAGGCGCGCGAGAGAACCUUCGUUAAGGAACUCGGCAAAAUAGCCCCGUAACUUCGGGAGAAGGGGUGCCUCAUUAGAGUGUAUGCUCGAAGAGGUUGCAAUGACUAGGCCCAAGCGACUGUUUACCAAAAACACAGGUCUCUGCUAAGACGCAAGUCGAUGUAUAGGGGCUGACGCCUGCCCGGUGCUGGAAGGUCAAGGGGAAGUGUUAGGUGUAUACUGAAGCACUGAACUUAAGCCCCAGUAAACGGCGGCCGUAACUAUAACGGUCCUAAGGUAGCGAAAUUCCUUGUCGGGUAAGUUCCGACCUGCACGAAUGGCGCAACGACUUGGGCACUGUCUCAACGAAGGACUCGGUGAAAUUGUAUUACCUGUGAAGAUGCAGGUUACCCGCGACAGGACGGAAAGACCCCGUGGAGCUUUACUGUAGUCUGAUAUUGAAUUUUGGUACCAUAUGUACAGAAUAAGUGGGAGGCAUUGAGAU